RNAcentral lists this ribosomal RNA (256 nucleotides) under Rhipicephalus bursa. Its description in RNAcentral is "partial large subunit ribosomal RNA". The record is from RNAcentral. Lineage: Eukaryota; Metazoa; Arthropoda; Arachnida; Ixodida; Ixodidae.
CAGAAAAUAGCUUUUUUAAUUUUAAAAAUUGAACUUUUUUUAAUUUGUGCAGAAACAAUUAUUUUAAUUAAGGACAAGAAGACCCUAAGAAUUUUUGAAUUUAAAUAAUAUAUUUAUGUAUUAAUUAAAUUUUAGCUGGGGCGGCUAAGAAAUAUUAAAAACUUUUUAAUUUAAAGCGACCCAUUAUUAAUGAUUAUAUGAAAAAAUACUCUAGGGAUAACAGCGUUAUAUUUUUUGAUAGACCAUAUUGACAAAA